AUAUUGCACAAUGGGCGCAAGCCUGAUGCAGCCAUGCCGCGUGUAUGAAGAAGGCCUUCGGGUUGUAAAGUACUUUCAGCAGUGAGGAAGGGGGUAUCGUUAAUAGCGGUACUCUUUGACGUUAGCUGCAGAAGAAGCACCGGCUAACUCCGUGCCAGCAGCCGCGGUAAUACGGAGGGUGCGAGCGUUAAUCGGAAUUACUGGGCGUAAAGCGCAUGCAGGUGG
This 225-nucleotide ribosomal RNA is filed under the name Vibrio fluvialis. RNAcentral's name for it is "partial 16S ribosomal RNA". It matches the Rfam family "Bacterial small subunit ribosomal RNA", at positions 361 to 578 of the family's 1533-position model. Lineage: Bacteria; Pseudomonadati; Pseudomonadota; Gammaproteobacteria; Vibrionales; Vibrionaceae. The record is from RNAcentral.